UACGUAGGUGGCAAGCGUUGUCCGGAUUUACUGGGCGUAAAGGGCGUGCAGGCGGUCUGUCAAGUCUAGGGUGAAAGCCCUCAGCUCAACUGAGGAAGUGCGCCCGAAACUGCAGAGCUUGAGUACCGGAGAGGAUGGUGGAAUUCCCCAAGUAGAGGUGAAAUUCGUAGAUAUGGGGAGGAACACCGGUGGCGAAGGCGACCAUCUGGACGGAUACUGACGCUGAGACGCGAAAGCGUGGGGAGCAAACAGG
Molecule: ribosomal RNA, 253 nt
Filed under: uncultured bacterium
Lineage: Bacteria
Description: partial 16S ribosomal RNA
Rfam family: Bacterial small subunit ribosomal RNA
Source: RNAcentral